This 77-nucleotide transfer RNA is filed under the name Caenimonas koreensis DSM 17982. Its description in RNAcentral is "tRNA-Arg". It matches the Rfam family "tRNA". Rfam says of the family: Transfer RNA (tRNA) molecules are approximately 80 nucleotides in length. The record is from RNAcentral. Lineage: Bacteria; Pseudomonadati; Pseudomonadota; Betaproteobacteria; Burkholderiales; Comamonadaceae.
GCCCCGCUGGCUCAGCGGACAAGAGCACCGGUUUACGAAGCCGGGGGUCGCACGUUCGAAUCGUGCGCGGGGCACCA